RNAcentral lists this ribosomal RNA (248 nucleotides) under uncultured bacterium. RNAcentral's name for it is "partial 16S ribosomal RNA". It matches the Rfam family "Bacterial small subunit ribosomal RNA", at positions 523 to 769 of the family's 1533-position model. The record is from RNAcentral.
AUACGUAGGGAGCGAGGCGUUGUCCGGAUUUACUGGGUGUAAAGGGUGCGUAGGCGGGACUGCAAGUCAGACGUGAAAUACCGAGGCUUAACCUCGGGGCUGCGUUUGAAACUGUAGUUCUUGAGUGAAGUAGAGGCAGGCGGAAUUCCUAGUGUAGCGGUGAAAUGCGUAGAUAUUAGGAGGAACACCAGUGGCGAAGGCGGCCUGCUGGGCUUUAACUGACGCUGAUGCACGAAAACAUGGGGAGC